This 253-nucleotide ribosomal RNA is filed under the name uncultured bacterium. RNAcentral's name for it is "partial 16S ribosomal RNA". It matches the Rfam family "Bacterial small subunit ribosomal RNA", at positions 524 to 776 of the family's 1533-position model. The record is from RNAcentral.
UACAGAGGUCCCGAGCGUUGUUCGGAUUCAUUGGGCGUAAAGGGUGCGUAGGCGGUCUGCUGAGUUUGAUGUGAAAUCCCGGGGCUCAACCCUGGAAUGGCAUUGAAGACUGGUGGACUAGAGUACUGGAGAGGAAACUGGAAUUUACGGUGUAGCAGUGAAAUGCGUAGAGAUCGUAAGGAAGACCAGUGGCGAAGGCGAGUUUCUGGACAGGAACUGACGCUGAGGCACGAAGGCCAGGGGAGCAAACGGG